RNAcentral lists this long non-coding RNA (356 nucleotides) under Vitis vinifera (wine grape). RNAcentral describes it as "long non-coding RNA (VVIN_LNC007941)". The record is from RNAcentral. Lineage: Eukaryota; Viridiplantae; Streptophyta; Magnoliopsida; Vitales; Vitaceae.
CUCCUUCUUGCCACACAUAUGGUUGCUACAACCUGAGUCAAGAAACCAUAACUCCUCUUUGCUAGCUUCCUUGCCAUCUGCAUGUGCCAUUAAUAAUAUUUCUCCACUAGCUUCUGCAUACUGUGCCUUUGUCUCUGUCUCCUUGUUUGGACAUUCAUAUUGAAAAUGUCCAAGCUUAUGGCAAUUAUAGCACUCAAUGGUAGACUUGUCAAAGCUUUGUCUACUUCUACCUCUUCCUCUUCCUCUAAAUCCACCACGACCUCGUCCUCUUCCUCUUGAUUGAUCUUCAUAGGCAACCUUCAAUGCUUGUUCUUCCACAAGAUGGCCAUUCAUGCGUUGUUCAUGCACCAAAAGAC